UCUUGCUUCGCUUUGCUGACCUUACCUUACCUUACCUUACCUUACCUUACCUUACCUUACCUUACCUUACCUUACCUUAGGUUAGGUUAGGUUAUGGUUUGGUUAGGUUAGGUUAGGUUAAGUUAGGUUAGGUUAGGUUAUGGUUUGGUUAGGUUAGGUUAGGUUAGGUUAUGGUUAGUUUAGGUUAGGUUAGGUUAGGUUAUGGUUUGGUUAGGUUAGGUUAUGGUUAGUUUAGGUUAGGUUAGGUUAGGUUAGGUUAGGUUAUGGUUUGGUUAGGUUAUGGUUUGGUUUGGUUAGGUUAGGUUAUGGUUUGGUUAGGUUAAGUUAAAAGUUUGGUUUGGUUAGGUUAGGUUUGGUUUUGUUUGGUUAUGUUAGGUUAGUUUAGCUUGUGUUGUGUUGUGUUGUGUUGUGUUAAGCCGUGAGGUUGUUGUGCACCGUGGACAGGUGGACGGGUGCAGCAGUGAGCACACUGGUGUGUGGGGCUUGGCACACCAGUGGUGCGCUGGUCAGUAAACACAGCUGUAGAUUUAAAGUCAUUUUUCUCCUUUGCAAUUACUGAGUGCACCUUUUGUUGACUUUUGAACAUUAGCAAGGGACAGGAACAUGUGCAACACCAAACACACCACCAUGCAUUGACCCUUUCCUCUGAGGCAAGGUGUUCACACUCCACCACUGAACACUCACCCUUUUUAUGGUGUGAACAACUAAGACACGGUAACACAAACACAGACAAACAAACAAACAAACAAUGUGCAGUGCAGAACUGGAGUUUGCAACAACUUGUAUUUGUAGGUGAAGAAAAUGAGUGCGAUCAGCGUGAGCGGUUUGGUGAGUGGCACGCAGCGCGUUCCAGCACGGAAGCCUUCUCUGUUCUCAAUGCUAAAAUUAACGUGCUGCCCAAACAAACACAGCUGUCGUUGGCUUGUCACAAAUGUGCAUGUCACACACAAAUGGUUUGAAUAAUACUGAAGUAAACACACCUUCUACAAACAACACUGCUCACUACACUGACAUGCUGCACUCACACACACACACACACACACACACACACACACACACACACACACACACACACACACACACACACACACACA
Molecule: long non-coding RNA, 1094 nt
Organism: Scylla paramamosain (green mud crab)
Lineage: Eukaryota; Metazoa; Arthropoda; Malacostraca; Decapoda; Portunidae
Exons: 2
Source: RefSeq, a predicted model, not a curated record